Molecule: ribosomal RNA, 775 nt
Filed under: uncultured bacterium
Lineage: Bacteria
Description: bacterial SSU rRNA
Rfam family: Bacterial small subunit ribosomal RNA
Source: RNAcentral
GCGGUGAUCAAAGCCGGGGACCGCAAGACCUGGCGUUNGAAGAGGCGCNUGCGCCCGAUUAGCUAGUUGGUGGGGUAACGGCCUACCAAGGCGAUGAUCGGUCGCUGGUCUGAGAGGACGGCCAGCCACACGGGGACUGAGACACGGCCCCGACUCCUACGGGAGGCAGCAGCAAGGAAUUUUCCGCAAUGGGGGAAACCCUGACGGAGCAACGCCGCGUGGGGGAGGACGCCUUUCGGGGUGUAAACCCCUUUUCUCGGGGACGACGACCGACGGUACCCGAGGAAGAAGGCCCGGCUAACUACGUGCCAGCAGCCGCGGUAAUACGUAGGGGCCGAGCGUUGUCCGGAAUUACUGGGCGUGAAGCGCGCGCAGGCGGCUGUCCGCGCCCGGCGUGAAAGCCCCCGGCUCAACCGGGGAGAGUCGUCGGGGACGGGACAGCUUGAGGGCGGGAGGGGUUGGUGGAAUUCCCGGUGUAGUGGUGAAAUGCGUAGAGAUCGGGAGGAACACCUGUGGCGAAGGCGGCCAACUGGCCCGACCCUGACGCUGAGGCGCGAAGGCGUGGGGAGCGAACGGGAUUAGAUACCCCGGUAGUCCACGCAGUAAACGAUGCAGACUAGGCGUGGGGGGACUUGACCCCCUCCGUGCCGGAGCUAACGCGGGAAGUCUGCCGCCUGGGGAGUACGGCCGCAAGGCUAAAACUCAAAGGAAUUGACGGGGGCCCGCACAAGCGGCGGAGCGUGCGGUUUAAUUCGACGCGACGCGCAAAACCUUA